AUUUUUUGACAAUGGGGGAAACCCUGAUCCAGCCAUCCCGCGUUUGCGAUGAAGGNCANNGGGUUNUNAAGCACUUUUGUCAGNNNNNAAAAGGUUCUGACUAAUACCCGGAAAUGAUCACGGUACCUGAAGAAUAAGCACCGGCUAACUACGUGUCAGCAGCCGCGGUAAUACGUAGGGUGCAAGCGUUAAUCGGAAUUACUGGGCGUAAAGCGUGCGCAGGCGGUUCGGAAAGAAUGAUGUGAACACCCAGGGCUCAACCUUGGAACUGCAUUCUUAACUACCGAACUAGAGUAUGUCAGAGGAGGGUAGAAUUCCGCGUCUAGCAGUGAAAUGCGUAGAUAUGCGGAGGAAUACCGAUGGCGAAGGCAGCCCCCUGGGAUAAUACUGACGCUCAUGCACGAAAGCGUGGGUAGCAAACAGG
RNAcentral lists this ribosomal RNA (424 nucleotides) under uncultured bacterium. RNAcentral describes it as "partial 16S ribosomal RNA". It matches the Rfam family "Bacterial small subunit ribosomal RNA", at positions 360 to 776 of the family's 1533-position model. The record is from RNAcentral.